This is a long non-coding RNA of Gasterosteus aculeatus aculeatus (three-spined stickleback), 2754 nucleotides long. The record is from Ensembl. Lineage: Eukaryota; Metazoa; Chordata; Actinopteri; Perciformes; Gasterosteidae.
AAAACAUAAAAUUGGGCAUUAAUUCACAAAACCUGGAACUAAAACAUAACAUAUUUGAAAAUAGCAAUUGAAGUGAUUCAAUAAAAAUCCAAAUAUAUUAAAUUAUGUGUUAUACUUCAAAUGUAUUACAGUAGCACAUGUAAAUCACAUGAGCAGAGAAACAAGAGUUUUUUGAUAAUUUCAAAACAAUUUAUUUUUUUUCCCCCUCAUGCACUUUGCUGCACACUACAAGUAGAGACAUGGUAUUUAUUCUCAGUCAGUUCACAACAUGUCUUGGUCCUGGAGAGAACACUCUGCAGGGUACAGGUACCAGACCAAUCAUGCUGAGGGGUCUCAGCAGGGGGUAAGCAAAGGCCCCACGACCUGUGGGCGCUGGUCGAAGUGCGGGCUGCACAGACUGCCGUGGCGGUCGUAGGCAGCAUCAAGAGAUUUUUGUCGAAUAUGGGGGUCUCGAGUAGGCACUUCUCUUUCCCUUCCUCUUUAGAAUCAACAUGGAGGGCCAGCUCAUGGGCACCCUGACGGGCCUCCAGAACGUCUUCACUCGAAAUGACGAGGUGCGGCAGAGGGCCAUGGAGACCAAGAGCCACCAGGCCCCCUCCUCUCUGGGGGUUGUGAGGAGGGCCGUGCGGACCAACCCCUUUUGCAAUGGCACGUUGGUGGUGGUGUUCCUGCAGUUUGGGUGCCUCCUCCCUCACCACCGGGCAGACGAUGACCCUCUACGCCAGGUAUUCCGGAGAGAGGCGGGUUAGGGCACUAAGCCGAUGCUCGAGGGGGUCGUCGACCUCGAGGGGGAGAUCCUCGCGCUGACCUGCAUGGCCUCAGGUAGCCCAGCCCAGGGGCUUUGUGGAUCGGCCGACGGCCGGAUCUGGGUCCAUCUCCGACAAUGCCGUCGCCCCUGGGGCCACCUCCACCUUGGAAAGUAUAACGAAAAAGAGAGGCUGGAGCUGUUGGACCUCCUGCGAGGCGUGGGCUUGGCUACUGUUUGGAUCACAUUCACCCAGUAGAGCAUUUUGAGGGUGACGUCCAUGAGGUCAUCCUUGAUGUGGUUGACUAUGUUUUAGUAGUCCGAGCUGCACAUCCUGCACAGGGAGCUCAGGCGGCCCUGCUCUUCUCCGGCAGCAGUUUGGAAACAGCACUCUGGCGCCCUCCCUCGGCCUGUCGCCGGAAUACCUCCGGAGGCUGAUGACCUCGGCCACAGCGGCGUAGACCGUCACCGUCUGCCCGGUGGUGAGGGAGGAGGCACCCAAACUGCAGGAACACCACCAAUGUGCCAUUGCAAAAGGGGUUGGUCCGCUCGGCCUCCUCACAACCCCCAGAGAGCAGGGGGCCUGGUGGCUCUUGGUCUCCAUGGCCCUCUGCCGCACCUCGUCAUUUCGAGUGAAGACGUUCUGGAGGCCCAUCAGGGUGCCCAUGAGCUGGCCCUCCAUGUUGAUUCCAAAGAGGAAGGGGAAAGAGAAGUGCCUACUCAAGACCCCCACAUUCAACAAAAAUCUCUUGAUGCUGCCCAUAACCGCCACGGCGGUCUGGGCAGCCCCCUUUUGGCGGGGCAGCCACCGCCGCCGGUACCCCUGCGGAGAGUUCUGUUGGGGAGGCGGCGCAGCAUGGUAGGUCUGGUACCUGUUGUGCCCUGCAGAGUGUUCUCUCCUGGACCUAGACCUGUUGUGAAUUGACUGAGAAUAAAUCCCAUGGCUCAAUUUAUAGUGUGGCAAGGAGCACAAGGCCCGCCCCUUGUCAGCCCAUCGAGGCCCGCCCCUUGUCGGCCCAUUGACGCCCGCCCCUUGUCGGCCCAUUGCCGCCCGCCCCUUGUCGGCCCAUUGAUGCCCGCCCCUUGUCGGCCCAUUGACGCCCGCCCCUUGUCGGCCCAUCGAGGCCCGCCCCUUGUCGGCCCAUCGACGCCCGCCCCUUGUCGGCCCAUCGAGGACCGCCCCUUGUCGGCCCGCCCCUUGAUGGCCCAUCGAGGCCCGCCCCUUGUCGGCCCGCCCCUCGAUGGCCCAGCGAAGGGCGUGGUUUAGUAAACUCCUCGCCCUCGCGACUUAUCCGCCCCUUGUCGGCCCGCCCCUCGAUGGCCCAGCGAAGGGCGUGGUUUAGUAAACUCCUCGCCCUCGCGACUUAUCCGCCCCUUGUCGGCCCAUCGAGGCCCGCCCCUUGUCGGCCCAUCGACGCCCGCCCCUUGUCGGCCCAUUGCCGCCCGCCCCUUGUCGGCCCAUUGACGCCCGCCCCUUGUCGGCCCAUCGAGGACCGCCCCUUGUCGGCCCGCCCCUUGAUGGCCCAUCAAGGCCCGCCUAUCGAGGCCUAUCGAGGCCCGCCCCUUGUCGGCCCAUUGAGGCCCGCCCCUUGUCGGCCCAUCGAAGCCCGCCCUUUUUUGGCCCAUCGAGGCCCGCCCCUUGUCGGCCCGCCCCUUGAUGGCCCAGCGAAGGGCGUGGUUUAGUAAACUCCUCCCCCUCGCGACUUAUCCGCCCCUUGCGACUCAGGAGUGGUUUAGUCAAUUCCUCCUCCUGAGUUUCAUAGGAGGAUCUUAGUGGAACGUAUUGGAGAAUAUAAGGCCUUGCGGUUUAUGUAAGCGCACACAUUAAGCACCGGCACGAACAGCUGCUUAAGCAGCGAAGGGGAGGCUGGGAGGGCCAGGAGGUCCCGUUUUCCCCCCCACCCCCGCUUCAAAGCGCCACAAGGAGGAGGAGGGCCCCUGGAACCCCCACGGGCAUCGCUGGAGCGGUCCUCGGGAGAGGAGAGAGGACUGAACUGUGGAGGAAAGAG